AAUGGGCGCAAGCCUGACCCAGCCAUGCCGCGUGAAGGAUGAAUGCCCUAUGGGUUGUAAACUUCUUUUUUACGGGAAGAAACUCCUGAACGUGUUCGGGAUUGACGGUACCGUAUGAAUAAGCAUCGGCUAACUCCGUGCCAGCAGCCGCGGUAAUACGGAGGAUGCAAGCGUUAUCCGGAUUUAUUGGGUUUAAAGGGUGCGUAGGCGGGAUAAUAAGUCAGUGGUGAAAGCCUGUAGCUUAACUAUAGAAAUGCCAUUGAUACUGUUGUCCUUGAGUACAGUUGAGGUAGGCGGAAUGUGUAAUGUAGCGGUGAAAUGCUUAGAUAUUACACAGAACACCGAUUGCGAAGGCAGCUUACUAAGCUGGUACUGACGCUGAGGCACGAAAGCGUGGGGAGCAAA
This 405-nucleotide ribosomal RNA is filed under the name uncultured bacterium. RNAcentral describes it as "bacterial SSU rRNA". It matches the Rfam family "Bacterial small subunit ribosomal RNA", at positions 370 to 772 of the family's 1533-position model. The record is from RNAcentral.